RNAcentral lists this ribosomal RNA (618 nucleotides) under uncultured bacterium. RNAcentral's name for it is "bacterial SSU rRNA". It matches the Rfam family "Bacterial small subunit ribosomal RNA", at positions 315 to 945 of the family's 1533-position model. The record is from RNAcentral.
CCUAUCGGGAGGCAGCAGUAGGGAAUUCUUACGGGGAGGCAGCAGUGGGGAAUAUUGCACAAUGGGGGAAACCCUGAUGCAGCGACGCCGCGUGAGCGAAGAAGUAUUUCGGUAUGUAAAGCUCUAUCAGCAGGGAAGAAAAUGACGGUACCUGACUAAGAAGCCCCGGCUAAAUACGUGCCAGCAGCCGCGGUAAUACGUAGGGGGCAAGCGUUAUCCGGAUUUACUGGGUGUAAAGGGAGCGUAGACGGCAGUGCAAGUCUGAAGUGAAAGCCCGGGGCUCAACCCCGGGACUGCUUUGGAAACUGUCCAGCUAGAGUGUCGGAGAGGAAAGUGGAAUUCCCAGUGUAGCGGUGAAAUGCGUAGAUAUUGGGAGGAACACCAGUGGCGAAGGCGGCUUUCUGGACGAUGACUGACGUUGAGGCUCGAAAGCGUGGGGAGCAAACAGGAUUAGAUACCCCUGGUAGUCCACCCCGUAAACGAUGAAUACCUAGGUGUCGGGGAGCAAAGCCCUUCGGUGCCGCAGCAAACGCAAUAAGUAUUCCCCCUGGAAGUACGUUCGCAAGAAUGAAACUCAAAGAAAUUUGACGGAGGUUGAACCUCAAAGGAAUUGACGGG